Macaca nemestrina (pig-tailed macaque) is the source of this 626-nucleotide long non-coding RNA. The record is from Ensembl. Lineage: Eukaryota; Metazoa; Chordata; Mammalia; Primates; Cercopithecidae.
GUUUCCUGUGUGUCCUUUCAGAGCUCCUUUUGCUUUCAAAAGCAAAUACAGAUAGGGGCAGCUUCUGAAUGGAUGGCCAAGUGACUCCGGAGCUUCUGUGCUGUGUGAGGACUGGGCUUUCUAUCCCUGUUCACCCUCAGGCUGCAGCCACCGCACGGGAGGAGAUGGUUCAGAUCGCACCUCUACCCUGACUCAGCACACACAGCUGUACUGUCAGGGGCUGCAAACCAACAUCUCUCAAGACCUUCCUGGAAGCUGCAGCUGGACUCCCUUUGUACUCCAGAGGAGCAUCCUGGGAGGCCCAGGUCGGAGCUCCUGGAGGGUCCCUGGGCUCUGGGGGACAGAAGAACAGGCGAGCUGGAAGCUGUUUUGGGGAGCAGGAGGUAUGAGGGCAGUUGGAGGGUGGCACAAGGAUAAGUCUCUUGUUUCUCUCUUUUCACCAAUGGCACUUGGCAGGGAGGAAGAAUCUAAAUGUGGCUCGCUGGGCUCUGUGGAUCUGGCACUGGAACAGCUGUCCAGGCUUUGGGGCCCCCGAUACCCCUACUGCUCUCCCUCAGGCCCCGGAUCUGUUUGGGCCCCCAGUGGGCGACCGCUCUGUGCUGGUCCACCACAGGGAAAUAUUCUGG